GUGAGGAAUAUUGCGCAAUGGAGGCAACUCUGACGCAGCCAUGCCGCGUGCAGGAAGAAGGCGCUACGCGUUGUAAACUGCUUUUAACCGGGAAGAAACCCCAGGACGUGUCCUGGGUUGACGGUACCGGAGGAAUAAGCACCGGCUAACUUCGUGCCAGCAGCCGCGGUAAUACGAAGGGUGCAAGCGUUAUCCGGAUUCAUUGGGUUUAAAGGGUGCGUAGGCGGAGCGUUAAGUCAGUGGUGAAAUCCUGCAGCUUAACUGUAGACUUGCCAUUGAUACUGGCGCUCUUGAGUGCGCUUGAAGUGGGCGGAAUGUGCCGUGUAGCGGUGAAAUGCUUAGAUAUGGCACAGAACACCAAUUGCGAAGGCAGCUCACUAAGGCGAUACUGACGCUGAGGCACGAAAGCGUGGGGAGCAAACAGGAUUAGAAACCCCUGUAGUCC
Molecule: ribosomal RNA, 445 nt
Filed under: uncultured bacterium
Lineage: Bacteria
Description: bacterial SSU rRNA
Rfam family: Bacterial small subunit ribosomal RNA
Source: RNAcentral